CCUACGGGUGGCAGCAGUGGGGAAUAGUGCACAAUGGGGGAAACCCUAAUGCAGCAACGCCGCGUGAGUGAGGAAGGAUUUCGGGAUGGAAAGCUCUAUCAGCAGGGAAGAGAAAAGAAGGGACCGGAAAAAGAAGCCCCGGCUAACUACGUGCCAGCAGCCGCGGUAAUACGUAGAGGGCAAGCGUGGUCCGGAAUUACUGGGUGUAAAGGGAGCGCAGGCGGGAAGCCAAGUCAGCUGUGAAAACUACGGGCUUAACUUGUAGACUGCAGUUGAAACUGGUUUUCUUGAGUGAAGUAGCGGUUGGCUGCAUUCCGCUUGUAGCGGUGACAUGCGUAGCUAUUCGGCGGAACCCCGGUGGCGCAGGCGGCCCACUGGGCUUUACCUGACGCUGCGGCUC
Molecule: ribosomal RNA, 400 nt
Filed under: uncultured bacterium
Lineage: Bacteria
Description: partial 16S ribosomal RNA
Rfam family: Bacterial small subunit ribosomal RNA
Source: RNAcentral